UUAUGGCCAUAUCGCGUUGAAAGAUCGGUUUCCGUACCAUCACCGAAGUUAAGCAACGCCGAGCUUGGUCAGUACCUAGAUGGGUGAUCGCUUGGGAAUACCAGGCGAUGUAAG
Non-coding RNA from Acanthosepion pharaonis, 114 nucleotides. NCBI's taxonomy places the organism in Eukaryota, Metazoa, Mollusca, Cephalopoda, Sepiida, Sepiidae. The record is from the annotation of a GenBank genome assembly.